Molecule: ribosomal RNA, 497 nt
Filed under: uncultured bacterium
Lineage: Bacteria
Description: partial 16S ribosomal RNA
Rfam family: Bacterial small subunit ribosomal RNA
Source: RNAcentral
GAUGAACGCUGGCGGCGUGCCUAAUACAUGCAAGUCGAGCGAACGGACGAGAAGCUUGCUUCUCUGAUGUUAGCGGCGGACGGGUGAGUAACACGUGGAUAACCUACCUAUAAGACUGGGAUAACUUCGGGAAACCGGAGCUAAUUCCGGAUAAUAUUUUGAACCGCAUGGUUCAAAAGUGAAAGACGGUCUUGCUGUCACUUAUAGAUGGAUCCGCGCUGCAUUGGCUAGUUGGUAAGGUAACGGCUUACCAAGGCAACGAUGCAUAGCCGACCUGAGAGGGUGAUCGGCCACACUGGAACUGAGACACGGUCCAGACUCCUACGGGAGGCAGCAGUAGGGAAUCUUCCGCAAUGGGCGAAAGCCUGACGGAGCAACGCCGCGUGAGUGAUGAAGGUCUUCGGAUCGUAAAACUCUGUUAUUAGGGAAGAACAUAUGUGUAAGUAACUGUGCACAUCUUGACGGUACCUAAUCAGAAAGCCACGGCUAACUACGUG